Molecule: ribosomal RNA, 474 nt
Filed under: uncultured organism
Description: partial 16S ribosomal RNA
Rfam family: Bacterial small subunit ribosomal RNA
Source: RNAcentral
ACUCCUGCGGGAGGCAGCAGUGGGGAAUUUUGGACAAUGGGCGAAAGCCUGAUCCAGCAAUGCCGCGUGCAGGAUGAAGGCCUUCGGGUUGUAAACUGCUUUUGUACGGAACGAAAAAGCUUCUUCUAAUACAGGGGGCCCAUGACGGUACCGUAAGAAUAAGCACCGGCUAACUACGUGCCAGCAGCCGCGGUAAUACGUAGGGUGCGAGCGUUAAUCGGAAUUACUGGGCGUAAAGCGUGCGCAGGCGGUUAUGUAAGACAGAUGUGAAAUCCCCGGGCUCAACCUGGGAACUGCAUUUGUGACUGCAUGGCUAGAGUACGGUAGAGGGGGAUGGAAUUCCGCGUGUAGCAGUGAAAUGCGUAGAUAUGCGGAGGAACACCGAUGGCGAAGGCAAUCCCCUGGACCUGUACUGACGCUCAUGCACGAAAGCGUGGGGAGCAAACAGGAUUAGAAACCCUUGUAGUCCCAUGA